AAAGACCCCGUGAACCUUUACUAUAGCUUGACACUGAACAUUGAGCCUUGAUGUGUAGGAUAGGUGGGAGGCUUUGAAGUGUGGACGCCAGUCUGCAUGGAGCCGACCUUGAAAUACCACCCUUUAAUGUUUGAUGUUCUAACGUUGGCCCGUAAUCCGGGUUGCGGACAGUGUCUGGUGGGUAGUUUGACUGGGGCGGUCUCCUCCUAAAGAGUAACGGAGGAGCACGAAGGUUGGCUAAUCCUGGUCGGACAUCAGGAGGUUAGUGCAAUGGCAUAAGCCAGCUUGACUGCGAGCGUGACGGCGCGAGCAGGUGCGAAAGCAGGUCAUAGUGAUCCGGUGGUUCUGAAUGGAAGGGCCAUCGCUCAACGGAUAAAAGGUACUCCGGGGAUAACAGGCUGAUACCGCCCAAGAGUUCAUAUCGACGGCGGUGUUUGGCACCUCGAUGUCGGCUCAUCACAUCCUGGGGCUGAAGUAGGUCCCAAGGGUAUGGCUGUUCGCCAUUUAAAGUGGUACGCGAGCUGGGUUUAGAACGUCGUGAGACAGUUCGGUCCCUAUCUGCCGUGGGCGCUGGAGAACUGAGGGGGGCUGCUCCUAGUACGAGAGGACCGGAGUGGACGCAUCACUGGUGUUCGGGUUGUCAUGCCAAUGGCACUGCCCGGUAGCUAAAUGCGGAAGAGAUAAGUGCUGAAAGCAUCUAAGCACGAAACUUGCCCCGAGAUGAGUUCUCCCUGACUCCUUGAGAGUCCUGAAGGAACGUUGAAGACGACGACGUUGAUAGGCCGGGUGUGUAAGCGCAGCGAUGCGUUGAGCUAACCGGUACUAAUGAACCGUGAGGCUUAACCUU
Molecule: ribosomal RNA, 847 nt
Filed under: Escherichia coli
Lineage: Bacteria; Pseudomonadati; Pseudomonadota; Gammaproteobacteria; Enterobacterales; Enterobacteriaceae
Description: partial 23S ribosomal RNA
Rfam family: Bacterial large subunit ribosomal RNA
Source: RNAcentral